CCUACGGGAGGCAGCAGUGAGGAAUAUUGGUCAAUGGCCGUAAGGCUGAACCAGCCAAGUCGCGUGAAGGAUGAAGGAUCUAUGGUUUGUAAACUUCUUUUAUAGGGGAAUAAAGGUAUCCAUGUGUGGAUCUUUGCAUGUACCUUAUGAAUAAGCAUCGGCUAACUCCGUGCCAGCAGCCGCGGUAAUACGGAGGAUGCGAGCGUUAUCCGGAUUUAUUGGGUUUAAAGGGUGCGUAGGUGGGUUUUUAAGUCAGCGGUGAAAGUUUGUGGCUCAACCGUAAAAUUGCCGUUGAAACUGGAAGCCUUGAGUGUGUUUGAGGUAGGCGGAAUGCGUGGUGUAGCGGUGAAAUGCUUAGAUAUCACGCAGAACUCCGAUUGCGAAGGCAGCUUACUAAGCCAUAACUGACACUGAAGCACGAAAGCGUGGGGAUCAAACAGGAUUAGAUACCCGGGUAGUC
Molecule: ribosomal RNA, 460 nt
Filed under: uncultured bacterium
Lineage: Bacteria
Description: partial 16S ribosomal RNA
Rfam family: Bacterial small subunit ribosomal RNA
Source: RNAcentral